AGCUUGACCCGAUUGACGCGUCCUAUUAUUCAACGCUCAAACGGACGCGUCUCUCCCACUCUCUCGGUCUCUCACUUCCUCACUAACACAAAAUUCCUAACUAACUUAGUUAGAUUCGUGCUUUUCCUCACGGCGUGAUAGGGAUUCGAGUAGAGAUUUAUUUAAAACAGGAAGCAUAUCAAGAAAAUGUGCAUACAAUGGAGGGAUACUUCAGCUUGUACUAUGCCUUGUACGCGUUGUCUCUUGUGGUUGCUCUCACAUGUCUUGUUUAUAUCCAAGUCAACAUGGGGUGGGCUUUAGGUUUUGGAGCUCCUGUUUUGCUAAUGUUGUUUGCAACUCUUUCAAUUUAUUUGGGUACUCCAUUCUACGUGAAGCUGAAGCCCAAAUCGAGCUUAAUCACUAGCCUUUUUCAAGUGAUUGUAGCUGGUUAUAGAAAUAGAUGUCUCAGAUUGUCGCCAGAGAGUGCAGAUAUACUAUACUGUUAGAAAAAAGAAUCAAGCAUAGUUCUUCCAAGUGAUAAAUUAAGGUUUCUGAAUAAAGCUUGCAUUGUACAAGAUCCUCAGUUAGACUUGAUCCCAGAUGGAGAAGCAAUAGAUCCUUGGCGUCUUUGCACUGUCGAUCAAGUAGAGGAGCUGAAAGCAUUGCUCAAAGUUGUUCCAAUCCGGUUAACAGGGGUUGUAUUGGCCAUAAAUAUAAGCCAGAGCUCUUUUCCAGUACUUCAAGCGAAUACCAUGGAUCGACAUAUUAGGUCAAGCUUUGAAAUCCCAGCUGCCUCAUUUGACAUCUUUGCUGUCAUCUCUGGUAUACUUUGGAUUGUCCUCUAUGACUGUUUGAUUCUUCCCGUUGCAUCAAAAUUGACUGGGAAACCUGCUUAUUUCAGCACAAAAGAGAGAAUGGGGUUUGAUUUAGUUUUUUCCUUCCUUUCAGUCUUAGUGGUGGCAGUCGUGGAAGGUGUCCGGAGAAGUAUUGCAAUCAAGAAUGGGCACCAUCGACGACUUAACCAAAAGAGAAGGGCAAGAGAGUUGGAUGUCGAGCAAUAUAAACAAGGGUCAUUAUGACUAGUCUGGUUAACACACCCUGCUAUAUUGUUUUUAGUAGAGCUUAUGGUCCUUGUGUGUUGCUUGUGUAAAAUCUGAAACACACUGAGAUUAAUUGAACGCCCGGAGUGAUUAAUUGUGUGGUGGAUCUGUGUGAUAAAGUGUUGUGUGUGCCGAUUGAAUUCCUGUCUGAGUGAAGUGAUUGGGUGUAUUUUUUAUGCCGGUUCCUGGAUAUUGACAUGCA
Molecule: long non-coding RNA, 1281 nt
Organism: Capsicum annuum
Lineage: Eukaryota; Viridiplantae; Streptophyta; Magnoliopsida; Solanales; Solanaceae
Exons: 3
Source: RefSeq, a predicted model, not a curated record